RNAcentral lists this long non-coding RNA (4257 nucleotides) under Marmota monax (woodchuck). Lineage: Eukaryota; Metazoa; Chordata; Mammalia; Rodentia; Sciuridae. The record is from RNAcentral.
UAUAAGAAAAGAUUUAUUUAUUUCUCCCCCCAUGGUUUUUGUAAAAUACAUAGACCAAGAAUUUCCACUUAAAGGGGAAAAAAAUCAAGAUGGUAAGUUCUAGUGAGUUCCCUGGUCAGUUAGCGCAUGGUGGCAGGUGGGGACAUAUUGUUCAGGCCUGUGGAGGCCAGACCCUCACCCUGGACUGCACCCUACAUUGGCCCCUCUGGGUGACCUCCACCAUAGGGUAGACCACCUCAGUAUUUCUUUGCUCCCAUCACUACAGAGAGACCCCCCAAGAAGCUCACUGGGUCACUCAGUUGCAUGGGCCCCUCAGGACAAAAUGAACCAAGAGCCCCUUCAAUGAAGGCCCCUGGACAUUUCAGUAAAAAGCAGAUGCCUGAGAACUCUGACUAGACCUCCUUCUACCCUGCCUACACUGGUAGACAGGAGAAGGGGACCUGGGCCUCCUCUCGGUUUGUCUUAGAGAAUUAGCCCUCAUUCCUUCUCCCACCUUUCAAGGGCAGUGAGCAAGCUGGGGGUUUCAGGUAUCUCCUAGGACUGCUUAGUCUUUUCAUGGACCCAAAGUUUCUGUUCUUAUGCAAACGUAAUGUACAUCUGUUCCCCAAAAUGCACUGUUUUCCUUGGGGGCCUUAUCUAGUGCUUUACGAAAAAAAUUCUAAUAUAUUAGACUUAGCAGCCUGAUCUCGAGUGUAUUCAGAUGUGUAUGUGUGUGUGUGUGUCUGUGCGUGUGUGUGCACGUGCAUAUGUAUAUAUGUGUCUACAUGGAUCUGUAUUGUGUGUAUGUGUGUGUGUGUGUGUGUGUUUUCUUGCUGGCCUUACUCAAGUGUCUCCCAAACGUCACAUGCAGCCACACCAGUUGUACUGAGCUGUGUUCAGAGUCCCUGUUUUUUUUUAAUAUGUCUCUAAAAGACCUGACAAUUUCAAAACCAAUCACAUUGGGUGGAAACUCAAGGGGUACGUUUUGGAAAAAAAGAAAAAAGAGAGAAGAAUCUUCACUAUCAAUUGCCCAUCUAUUUUAGGUAAACAACCAGAUACUGCCAGGCCACCAUGAACCUCUUUACCUCUUUACGUUUGUCUCUAUGAGAUGCUCUCUACCUUAAGAUGGUUUAUUUUUCUUUCAGAGUCUUUUUGGAAGGGCCUUACCAGGAGCUCUCUGAAAAGUGGAGUAAAUUAUGUCAACCGGAUCAACAUUGUUUUCAGUUUUAUCGACCUAGAAAUGAUAACUGUAAUAUUUCCUGCAAAUGUCUUGAUUCGGCAGAAGUUGCACUUGUGAUAGUUAAUGCACAAUUUGAAGAAUUCAUUCCCAGGUACAGAAACACAUUGGAGGAACACAGCAGCCAUAGGAGACAAAUGAGCCCAAUGAGAAAUUCUGCUACCCUGCUCCUGCCGGGAUUUACCUUGCUCUCCACUUUUUCUGCCUGGUUUUCUUUUUAACCUCAGAGGUAACGAUGGGUCCAUUGGAUAAAAAAAUGGGAAGGAAACUGGUUAAUUCGGGAGGUUUCUGAGUGUUCUUUUGACCACAUAGUGUUGGCUGUGUCCAGAGUGAGUAUGAUGAAACCAUAAAGUGUCAGCCCUGAGAGACCACAAGGUUGAAGGCCAGACCAUCCUGGAGAAAGUGGAUACCUCUCUAGGAAGCUUCUAGAACAGUCUCCAAGGAGGGCCAGCUCUGACCUGCAGGGGGGUGAAUCAAUGUACUCUGGCAGGUAGGUCGCUGGGGCACAGUGUCAGGGAGGCAGAGGGGGUGGCCGUCAGCACUCAGAAGCCUGGCCAAGGGAGCAGGAACUCAACAGCGGAGACCUAAGACUGAGACAGGAAGAAGCAAAGGGGUGCUGGGCCAAGGGCUUCCUCCCCUUCCAAGGCAGCUGUAAGGACUCAGAAUGUUCCUCCAGGUCUAUGUUUCUCAGCCUUCCAAAUCCUCAUGCCAGUUAGAUCCAAACCUAGCCGAGAAGGAGGUCCCUGCAUUUGUUCUCUUGCCUUUAGCCUGCCUUCGGGGGAAUGAUGGUCCCAGUCGCCUGCACCUCCAGCCAGCCUGGCACAGUCUGAAGAACGUGGACUUGAGGCCGGAUGAGGUCAGAUUUCAUCUGGACUAAGAGCCCAAGCAAACACCUCCAAUUCCUAGCGGCUUGGGUUGGAGGUCACGUGAGAGAUGGUGGUAUCUUCCAAAGUUCAGUCCUGACCAAACACCCCGUGUUUUUUAUUCACUCCAUUUUACUUAGCUUUUUUUCCCAUCACCUUGUCCAUCAGUGGCACACGGAUCACCCCGUGGGAAAUGGUGAGACUGCGUCACUGCACCACCUGUCUCAGAGACGGACUUACGGUUGUGUCUACCCCUCUGCUUCAUGGCCUUGAGUGCUCUGCCUCACCCCUCCCCACCUCACCCCGCCCCACCUCACCCCUCCUUGAACCUGAGUGAAGCCCCUGCUGAUCUCUGUCCCACACCUGCUGGAGAGACCUGUUCCAACUGAGACGGCUUCUCUGGAACGCCACGGUCUCACACUUGACUGCAGGCAUGGCCUUCACCUGUGGGUCCAGAUGCCUCACCUGGGUCACCCAGUCAGGCCCCCUGAUGUGGGUGCGGCGCAUAUUAGUCCUCAGAGCAUCAGGAACUUUGAACUCUGUUGCCCACCCUCCUGCAGGAUCAGCCCUACAAACCUGCAUUGCACUCUGGAGCCCCUGCCCGAGAGGCUUUCUGUCCCAGCUCAUCACUAAAACUCCAGCCCACCUGUAUCCAAAAGAGCCCUGGGCAGCGGGGAGGACCAACACCAGCACAGAAGUAAGACCAGGCAUUGCAUUUGGGAGCUGGAGGGACCUCACUCUAGAGCACGUCUGUCACCGUCACUCAGACCAAGAUGUCUGUUAUCACCUCCCAGGUAUCUCUCCUAUUCUCUCUGAUUCGGUAUCACCCAACGGCAAAACUCCUGAGAAAUUCUGACUUUUCUUUUUAGAACUGAAUUUGUCUAUUUUGUAUGUUGCUGAAAAAAGAGAAGAAAAGGAAUCCAGCAACAGAGGGUGAUCCCAGGCCACUCAGGAUCAGAAUGAAAACCCACAUCUGGAUUGUACUAAGCCUUUAUUCCUAGAGAAGCCACUAGUUACCUCUUCACCCAGAACUGGGGGACCUGAGGCCUCUGUUGCCCAAACCUAGCAGGUGCUUACAAAUUAUUCAUUUUGGUAGAGGCACAUGUGGGAGAGAGGGAAAAGGAGCUUCCUUUUGCUCACCUGGUUUUAUCUUCCAACCUAGAACAGGGAGGAGAGGGGAGGGAGGAGUUUAGGGACAGGAGCCACCUUUCAGCCUGCCAACCCAUCCCUGGAGCAUUAUCUGUCAGCCCUCAAACCUCUGCAUGCUGAGCAAUGUACACUCCUCAGAAAAGCACAGGACAGCCCCAGAGCCAGGCAUCCACGCAAUGAUUAGGCUGCCUCUUGGUCUCAAGCAAAGGAAUCAUUGGUACUGGAAAGGAAUGAAGAAUUUGGGGGGGAAAAUCAGUCUUUUCGUCUGCACAGUGUUGAAACAUUUGGAUCAAACAUGAGACAUCACUUCAAGCCAGAUGUUUUCUAGGCAUUUCCACCAAGUUUCGAUAUUUGGAAACACUAAAUAUGUACUGACAUUUCAGUAUCUUUUCAAAGACCAAAACAUAGAAGCCAAUAAACGCUUCCUUUCUGAGACCUUAUAAAGAUAGACGAAGAGAUAGACUUGGCGAGGUUUAAAACCACAACUUAUGUGGCUACUUGAAAUAGCUGAGAAAAAAAAAUAUGUUUUCCUAAGUGUUAUGGACUGAAUGUCCAUGUCCUCCCCAAAAUACAUAUGUUGAAAUCUCAUCCCCACCAGUGGUGGUUUUUAGAGGUUGAGACAUUUGGAGAUGAUGAAUGUCAAGGUGGAGCCUUCAUGAAAGGGGUUAGGGUCCUCAAAGAAGAGACCAGAGAACUAGCUCCAACCAUUCCACCAUGUGAAGACACAAGGAGAAAUCGGCAGACUGCAACUCAGAGGGCCCUUACCAGAACCCAGCCAUGCUGCAUCCUGAUCUUGGAAUUGCAAUCUCUGGAACUGUGAGAGGUAAAUACCCGUUGUAUAUAAGCCACCUAAUCCAUGGUACUUUGUUAUAACAAGUGGACCAAGACACCAAGUGAAGAGAUUUCCCCCCCUUACAAUCACUCAUAUGAUUAUAAGAGAAAAUAAAUUUUCAAACCAGUGACCAAUUAGGUCAUCAAUUUUAGGAGCAAUUAUUAAGUAAGAUUUCAAUAAAUAAUAGAAUUUCUGGA